GUUGUCCAACAGAGAUGACAGCUUAGCCACCAUUCUCCUGUCACUCACCACCUUCACUGGGUCCAGAGGCCAUCCUAGAACAGGGCUGGCCCUCUGUUCAGUCUCUUCCUGUCCCCGGCAGAGAUGCUGCCGGGGGGUGUUUGUGUCUGUGGAAGUCUAUCACCAGCUCCUUGGUUUUUCCAGUGUUCCAAUUCUGCUGACACCAGUCCACAAAGUCUUGGGUCAGUUCUCUGUACUCCCUAUCAUCCCCAUCAGUAAUGAGGCCAACUACUGCAGAGUCAUCAGAGAACUUCUGCAGGAAGCACUGGGUGGAGUUGUGGGAGAAAUCAGCAGUGUAGAUGUUGAAGAGGAACAGAGCCAGAACUGUUCCCUUUUUUUUCUUUUUUUUCUUGUCACAUCAGUGUAAUAAGACCACUGCACAAGUUACAAAACAUAAACAGACCCCAGCCCUAUAUUUAAUAUUCCUCACGUUAUAUAUGAUACUGUGUGCAAUAUGGGGUAUUUAAGUUGCCUCCUCUAAGCCUUUUAAGCUCUGUGUUCAUUUUGAAGUUUACAGAUGGUUUACAGAAAACAGUUUCUUUUUGUUCCUUGCAGUCUCCCGUUUGGCUCUUUUGCCAUCAGAAUUGUUGUCUAAGGGCAAAGAAAGAUGCCCAACGGAUUUACUUUACCAAAUUGACCAUCCCAGCCUUGCCGUAAUGGUCCAUUUGAUUCACCUUUUAUUGUUUAGUUUAUUUUCAUUUACUGAAUACGGGACAGACUUGACUGGGGGAAAGAAGGGGAGAAAGAAAGAGGGAAAGAGAAACAGCUGAGAAGAGGGACGGGGGAGAAGGGCAAAAGACAAAAACCAACAGAAUGAGCAGAAAAAAAAAAAGAAGAAAAAAAUGCAUAUAUCAAUCACCUGGAUCACCUGCUGAGAAAGAAAAAAGAAAACAAGCAGAAGAGAACAAGAGUAAUAGAAUAAACAACAUCACAAUGAUAUAUGGGAAUAUGACAGUAAAUACUAAAUAUUAAACAUUAUUGUGCAGCACAUAAGAUCAACAGAACACAGUGUGCUUUGAGGUAGGAGCCAAAAAGGGUGUAGUUUGUGGGUGUGAUCACCCGUGUGUACACCUGUGAGCAUGGACGCGCUUGUUUUUUGUUUUUUAAAAGGUUCCUUCAUGUAAUAAUCUGCUAGAGGGUGUGGGGGGGCCACAGCCCCGUCCUCCAGGGCAUGAAGCAGGUGUGGAGGAGAUCAAAACUCCAGACAUCCAGAGGCCCCCAGAACACAAGAGACCAAGGAAGACCAACAGAGGGGCAGCUGCGCCACUGUCC
Molecule: long non-coding RNA, 1311 nt
Organism: Astatotilapia calliptera (eastern happy)
Lineage: Eukaryota; Metazoa; Chordata; Actinopteri; Cichliformes; Cichlidae
Source: Ensembl